UACGUAGGUGGCGAGCGUUGUCCGGAUUUACUGGGCGUAAAGGGAGCGUAGGCGGACUUUUAAGUGAGAUGUGAAAUACCCGCGCUCAACUUGGGUGCUGCAUUUCAAACUGGAAGUCUAGAGUGCAGGAGAGGAGAAUGGAAUUCCUAGUGUAGCGGUGAAAUGCGUAGAGAUUAGGAAGAACACCAGUGGCGAAGGCGAUUCUCUGGACUGUAACUGACGCUGAGGCACGAAAGCGUGGGGAGCAAACAGGAUUAGAUA
RNAcentral lists this ribosomal RNA (261 nucleotides) under uncultured prokaryote. Its description in RNAcentral is "partial 16S ribosomal RNA". It matches the Rfam family "Bacterial small subunit ribosomal RNA", at positions 524 to 784 of the family's 1533-position model. The record is from RNAcentral.